Molecule: long non-coding RNA, 927 nt
Organism: Pseudophryne corroboree (corroboree frog)
Lineage: Eukaryota; Metazoa; Chordata; Amphibia; Anura; Myobatrachidae
Exons: 2
Source: RefSeq, a predicted model, not a curated record
AUGACUGGGAGGCAUGCCUCACAGUGGAGACGUGCUUGAGCUCUGAUGGGCAGCUUGGACUGGUCAUGUGACCAAUCAAGGAAGUGUAUGAAGAGAGACAGACAACGGAGCUGAGCAGCAUGGCAGGGGAGGAGGGAAAUGAGACCUGCAGUGCCAGCAGCAGCCACCCGUGCACAGUGACUGGGAACAAGACCUGUCCCAUCUCCCACGCAGUGCAGUGGAAGCCAUUGGAGGGGCAAGACUUGGCAUUCUAACAUAUUGACACUUCAUCGCUCUCUAUGUGCUGAACAUUGAUAUGGUUAACGUUGAUAUUAUGACCCUGUUGCAAUUAUGACUGUCGACAUAUUAUACCCAACCCAAAAUAUCUGGUAAUAAUAAACCAUCAUGAGUGUAUACUGUAUACUUACAUCUAGUGACAGAAUAAAGGUGUGGCUUGUCAUGGUUAGUAGCUAAUGUUGGUAAAUGGUGCGCUCCGUGCCUGUCUCCUUAUGUAUGGGAUUACAUGGGCACAUCCUCUAGUGUCUGUCCACUAGUGCCAGUAUCUCAGGGAGGCAGAGCUAUGAUCCAGAGCGCCUCCAUCUUAGUGACAGUGUGUCAGCAGAGCGCGCAGUGAAGUGUGUGUGUGUGAGCUGAGAGAGAUUUACAGCGUUCCUCCGUGUACCGAACCUCCGGAGCUAAUAUAGAGCCGGGCAGUGCAUCGCUUCUCCUUCACAGCGGGAGUCAGACUGCAUGGCCGUGCAGUCCUCUGUCCCUUACCACCGGAGCAUAUCCUCACAGUCAUACUGCAGCCACAUCAGGACACUGAUAAGUACCGCUACCAAUACCUGUGUUACCCUUGAUUUUAUAUCAGACCAAUUGUCUACUAUUGCUGCAUACUCAAGUCACCUGUGUGUAUACCAGAAUAAACCUGCAUUGCUGUUUAACUCA